This 253-nucleotide ribosomal RNA is filed under the name uncultured bacterium. Its description in RNAcentral is "partial 16S ribosomal RNA". It matches the Rfam family "Bacterial small subunit ribosomal RNA", at positions 524 to 776 of the family's 1533-position model. The record is from RNAcentral.
UACGUAGGGUCCGAGCGUUGUCCGGAAUUAUUGGGCGUAAAGAGUUCGUAGGCGGUUUGUCGCGUCUGCUGUGAAAUCCCGAGGCUCAACCUCGGGUCUGCAGUGGGUACGGGCAGACUGGAGUGCGGUAGGGGAGAAUGGAAUUCCUGGUGUAGCGGUGGAAUGCGCAGAUAUCAGGAGGAACACCGAUGGCGAAGGCAGUUCUCUGGGCCGUAACUGACGCUGAGGAGCGAAAGCGUGGGGAGCGAACAGG